This 160-nucleotide ribosomal RNA is filed under the name Mammea brevipes. RNAcentral describes it as "5.8S ribosomal RNA". It matches the Rfam family "5.8S ribosomal RNA". From Rfam's summary of the family: 5.8S ribosomal RNA (5.8S rRNA) is a component of the large subunit of the eukaryotic ribosome. It is transcribed by RNA polymerase I as part of the 45S precursor that also contains 18S and 28S rRNA. Functionally, it is thought that 5.8S rRNA may be involved in ribosome translocation. Lineage: Eukaryota; Viridiplantae; Streptophyta; Magnoliopsida; Malpighiales; Calophyllaceae. The record is from RNAcentral.
GACUCUCGGCAACGGAUAUCUCGGCUCUCGCAUCGAUGAAGAACGUAGCGAAAUGCGAUACUUGGUGUGAAUUGCAGAAUCCCGUGAACCAUCGAGUGUUUGAACGCAAGUUGCGCCCGAAGCCUUUUGGCCGAGGGCACGUCUGCCUGGGUGUCACGCA